GCCCCGCCCCCGCGGCCCGCUGCUAAGUGAGUCCCACCGGCGGAGCUGGCCCGGGCGCUGUGCCCUCGCUCGGCUCUCUCCGCCCCCCGCGCGGGCCGCGGGCUGCGCCGGGUCGCGGCGGGCCCCGCAGGCAGCCAUGGCGGCGGGCGCCGGGGCCAGGCCGGCGCCGCGCUGGGUAAAGGCGCUAGGUGAGCCGCUCAGUGCCGCGCAGCUGCGGCGGCUGGAGGAGCACCGCUACACCGCGGUGGGAGAGUCGCUGUUCGAGCCGCCGCUGCAGCUUUACUGGACCUGGCUGCUCCAAUGGAUCCCGCUCUGGAUGGCCCCCAACACCAUCACCCUCAUCGGCCUCGCCAUCAACCUGGUCACCACACUAGUGCUCAUCUUCUACUGCCCUACAGUCACGGAGGAGGCACCAUACUGGACAUACCUUUUAUGUGCCCUGGGACUCUUUAUCUACCAGUCACUGGAUGCCAUUGAUGGGAAACAAGCCAGAAGGACAAACUCUUGCUCUCCCUUAGGGGAACUAUUUGAUCAUGGUUGUGACUCUCUUUCCACAGUAUUUAUGGCCAUCGGCGCUUCCAUUGCUGUUCGCCUAGGAACACAUCCUGACUGGUUGUUUUUCUGCUCUUUCGUUGGGAUGUUCAUGUUUUACUGUGCUCAUUGGCAGACUUACGUCUCAGGAGUGUUAAGAUUUGGAAGGGUGGAUGUCACUGAGAUCCAGGUAGCUUUAGUGAUCGUCUUCAUGUUGUCAACAUUUGGAGGAGCAACAAUGUGGGACUAUACGUUGUCUUGAACAACAGUUGACCAACAGAUACCUAUUCUAGAAAUAAAACUGAAGAUUGUUCCGGUUCUUGGAGUUGUAGGUGGAUUAAUAUUUUCCUGUUCAAAUUAUUUCCAUGUGAUCCUCCAUGGUGGUGUUGGCAAGAAUGGGUCUACUAUUGCAGGCACCAGUGUCUUGUCACCUGGACUCCACAUAGGAUUAAUUAUUAUAUUGGCAAUAAUGAUCUAUAAGAAGUCUGCAACAAAUAUGUUUGAAAAACAUCCUUGCCUUUAUACUUUAAUGUUUGGAUGUGUCUUUGCUAAAGUUGCACAAAAAUUGGUGAUAGCUCACAUGACGAAAAGUGAACUAUAUCUUCAAGACACUGUCUUUAUUGGGCCAGGUCUUUUAUUUUUAGACCAAUACUUUAAUAAUUUUAUAGAUGAAUAUGUUGUUCUGUGGAUAGCAAUGGUCAUUUCUUCAUUUGAUAUGAUGAUAUACUUUACUUCUUUGUGCCUGCAAAUUUCAAGACACCUUCAUCUAAACAUCUUCAAGACUUCAUGUCAACAAGCACCGGAACAGGUUUACAAGCAUAUUGACUGACUAGUAGCCCAAGGAAAAGAGGAGAAGCAGUUAGGGGAACCUAUGUGUGAAGGAUAUCCCCCUAUACAGGAGGCUAGUAUACUAUCUAUAAGGUUAUGUUUAAGUAUAAAAUAUAAAUCUGUAGCUUCCAUUAUGUCUACAUCAAUAAUGAAUCCCUUGUCGUUGACUUAUCACGUAAGUUAUCAAUGUAAUAUAAUGUAUGCAUUAGAAACAAGAACAAAAAAUAAAUUUAAAUAUUAAGGACAAUAGGAAAUUGUACCCCAAUAAGUCUAAAUAGCAUUAUGUCUACAAAACAUCUAUCAGACUUGGGGUUUUGAUUGCCAAAGGAUUACACAAAUAUUCAGAACUUAAAAGAACUUCUAUCCAUCUUGUCAAUGACAUUUGAUUGAUACAACUUGAAAAGUGAGCACAUAAUACUAAGUAUCUAAUGAUAAUACUAUAACUGAGUCAAAGUCAAGUGAUAUACUGAGAUAUUUGUAUGUACUAACCAUUGUUCAAAAGAGGUAUGCUAACUAUAGACAUACUUUAGUAUGCUAUCUAGAUUUAAAACAAUGAUUGUGGGAUUCUGUUGUACUAAUUCAGCAUAACACGAAUCUUUGAGGGUAGCUUGUGCCUUAAACUUGUGUCCAAGUAAACAAUUUAUUUCCAUGGGAAAAAAAUGAACCUUAAGUCCCCAAAGACAAACAAAAAAGUAGCUCAAAUAAUUGAUAGGUAAGGAAAUUGGUAACUUGGGAAAAUGGCAAAAAAGGUGUAAGGGGGGAAAAAUAAGUGUCAGUAUUCAACACUGGGUACAUUAGGUACUGAUUAUCUUUUCUAUUCUCAGUUGAAAAUACUUAAGAUUUGCUUUAUAAAUACCACAAUUAUCUUAACACUCUUCAGAGCUUAUGACCCAUAUGACCUCAUCUCUAAUUUCAUACAAAAUCUCCAUAAGCUGUAUACCAUAUAAUGAAAGAAUCAGACAAAUAGUGUAAAUGUGUAUUUUAAGUAUUCUAAGCAAGAAAAAGAGAGUUGAAAAAGUGUAUGUUUCUCAAAAGGUAAAAAUAUGUGAAUACAGAGAAAACACUCUGAAGUAUUUAUGUUGCAUAUCUAACUCUUGGGUAAGAUUCUCAAGGUUUAUAUUCCAUGUUGCAGACAUAGCUAAGCUUAACAUGGGUGAGGACCCGGCUUGAUCUACUAGCAACACCCACCCCACCCACCUCAAAUAAAAAGGAAUUAAAGAAUUGGACUGUCCUUUUAAUGUUAAAGCUAAUGGUAGAAGGGUAAUUUCUUCCUAGACAAUAAAAAGAGUAUUAUAUAGACUUGUAUAAAGUUUUUAAAAGGUGGGUUAUAGAACAAAAUUUUAAAAAGAUAGUUUUCCUUCUGAUAUGUUUUGUUUUUCUGAAUGAUUCAUUGAAUGCAGUUUCAGCAAAACUAGAAAGCUCAAAUGACUUUAAAGAAAUGCUGAGACAACUCAGUAUGUAUGAAAUUGUUUUUAUAAGUUUCUCUGUAUAAGUGCCUAUUUUUAAAAUUAAAAACAGUUCAAGUUUAGAAAUGAAUGUGAAAUCAAGCUUCAGUAUAUUUACUGAAAAUUACAAUGGAAAAGAUACCUAGGAAAUACAUAUUUGAAGACAGAUAUGAAGUACUUAAACCAUAAAUACCUUUAGCUGUGUUUAUGAUAAUGCUCUUAAUCAUUACUAGGGGCAUGUGUCAUUUAAGUAUAGACUAGGCAAUUAAAUGGUAUUUUGAUGAACUUGCAGAAUGAAAUAUAAAUCUACACAUUAAAACCAAUACUUGGAAAUCUUUUCAGGUGUUUUUAAAAUUAUUUUAGCAUCUAUAAUUUAUUCUAAGACACAAGCUUAAGUUUUUUUUAAUAAACUAUAGAUUAUUUUCUUAGAAUUGGCAAUCUAUUAUUUUAGUAAACAUAUAAUAAAGAUGUACAUACAAAACCGAUUCUGUAAGGUUCUUUCCUUAAAGGAGUACAGUAUAAGCCACGCGUGAUGGCAUGCCUUUGUUCCUGCUACUUGGGAGGCUGAGGUAAAAAAGAUCUCUUAAUCCUAAAAGUUUUAGACUAAUCUGGACAAGAGGGUUAGACUAUAUCUGAGAAAAAAAAAAACCAAAAAAACCUAGAACCAUCUAUACUUGGAACCUUGUACCUUGGGACUGUUAAGAGAUAUACUGAAACCAAAACAUAAAUUUAAAUCAUCUUUAUUGACACAAUCGUGGAGAGAACAACUAUUAAAACAAACAAACAAAAAACCCUGAAAGUUUGAUACAUUGGAAUAGCUGGUACUUAACAUAGUUUAGGUUUAUAAGGUUUUAGGUUAACAGGAACAAAAAUCUUCCACUUAAAUAAGCUAAUGAUUUCGGAUAUUAUAGUUUAAACUAUAAUUUACUAAAGGCAUGCCUCUUAGCUAAUGUUUUAAUUGUAUCAUAUUACAUAGGUUCAAGUUCUUUCUUCAAAGACUCAUCAGAAUAACAUGGAUUGAAGAGACUUUCGAACAUUUGCCAUCUCUUGCUGCUGCUGUUUCAUGAAAGGAGAUAUGAAACAUGUUUAAUUUUUAGUUAAAUGUUAUAAAAUUUUCAGCAAAUAAAACAUUUCAGUGCCUCCAUUAAUUCAUAUUUCUGCAAUAUAAAAUAGAACUUACAGUUUCCAUCAUAACUUUUUUUUGCAACAUAGCCAUUUCUUUUUUAAGUUCACUUUGUGUGCCAGUAAAUAGAUUAUCAUUAUUCUUUUCCACAUCUUCCAAACUCUAAAAUACAAAAAGGCCACUUUAGUUAUAAUCUGUAACUUUUAACCAGAGGCUCUAAAUUUUAAAAUCUUUUAAAAGUAAAAAUAUUUUCAUUAUUCAGAAAAUGCUCAUUAUUUAUCCCAAAAUUCUAAGUAACUCAUAUAGACCAAAUUUCCCACUAUAAAGAAGUAAAUAUAUCACACAUUAAUCAAAUACAAUUAAAGUACAACAGUAACAUAAUUUCCCAAAACAAUAGUUUAAUGAACUAGAUUCAGGUGAUAAAAAAGAAAAUGGGAAAGGUAGCUAAACAAGAUGGGAGAAUUGCAAAUUUGAGGCUAGUCUGGGCAAUGUAUAAUCUUGUCUCAAAAGAGUAAGAAAAAUAAAAUCUAGAAAGAUUACAAGGUCUAUAUACAAUAUAUACAAUUUAAAAUUUUUCUAGUAAGUUUCUUAAGACAUCUGAGCAUAAUCUAUUGUGACUAAAAGUCAACAUGACUUAAAUUCACAAAAGGGAAUAAAAUAUCUAUAGUAUCAAGUUAUAAGGAAAAAAUUAUUAGAUAUUAAAAAAUUAUUACAUUUUCAUUCAUUUAGAGGACAACUCGUGGGUACUAGGUUCUCUUCUUCUAGCAUAUGGGUCCCAUAGAUUGAACUCUGCCCUAGUAUUUUUUUUUUUCAAGACAAGGUCUCAUAAUAUAAAGGCAAGGCUCACCUCAAACUUCCUAUUCCUGUCUCAGGUUUAGAGGAAUGUGCCAUAACACCUAGCUAAAAAGUUUUUUAAAAUUUAGUACUCAUUCACCAAAUAUAUAGUAUCCUAUUGCCUAUUAUGUAGAAAAUACUGUUCUGUGGAGAACUAAAAAAAAAAAGUAAUAUAUGAGUGUUUUCUUUUUUUCUAAUCAUAAAAAUUAUGUAAGCAACAUAAUUUUAUAAGAAUGGAAAUUUAACUCCUGUAGCUAUCUAAUGGAACAUAUGAAUAAUUCCUGUUUAGUUAAACAAAAAGUAUACUAUUUUAUUAAUUAAAAGGGAACUUAGCUGGGCAUGGUGGCGCACGCCUUUAAUCCCAGCACUCGGGGAGGCAGAGGCGGGCAGAUUUCUGAGUUCAAGGCCAGCCUGGUCUACACAGUGAGUUCCAGGACAGCCAGGGCUAUACAGAGAAACCCUGUCUCAAAAAAAAAAGGGGGGGGAGACUUAAGGGCUGGAGAAAUGGCUUAGCCGUUAAGAGCACUGACUUCUCUUCCAUAGGUCCUGAGUUCAAUUCCCAGCAACCACAUGGUGGCUCACAACCAUCUGUAAUGGGAUCCUAUGCCCUCUUCUGGUAUGUCUGAAGAUAGCUAUAGUGUACUCAUAUAAAUAAAAUAAAUCUUACAAAAAGAGGGUGGGGAGACUUAAAAUAGUCUAGAGGAAUCAUAUAACCAAAGCAUGGAAAUACGUUAAGUCUGUGGACUCAGAGAAAGCAAUUAUGUAGAGAGUUUAGAGUAAUGUACACGUACAGUUUGUACAACUAAAAAUUUAGAAGGACAACUACCACUCAGGAAGGAGAUGUUUUAUUUAGGUUAUAUGGCAGAAUCAAAGAAUAGACUGAAGAAAAGAGUUUUAAUAGGACAAAGUGUGAUGAGAAAGUGAAACAGUACAAGCAAGAAUGAACAAAUGUAUUAAACAGCAGGAAUUAAAGGAAUAAUGAACCACUGUAGAGGUAAGAAUUCUAGGAUUUAAUAAAAAUAUUAAUAAAGGAUAAAAAGGAUAUGAAAAGCAGGGUUUUAAUCCCAGCACUCAGGAGACAAAGGUAGGCAGAUCUCUAAGUUCAAGGCCAGCCUGGUCUACAGAGUUAAGUUCCAGGACAGCCAGUACUACACAGAGAAACCUUUCUUUUUUUAAAAAAAAAAAAAAAAAAAAAAAAAAAAAAACAGAUAUGGAGGAGUUAAAAUUAUAUUGAAGUUUUUACCAAAAUGGUAACAUCUAGUGAUAAUAUUAGAGGAAAUCUUUUUUUAAGUACUUCCUCAAGUCAUACCAAUUAAAUUGUUCUUAAGGAGUUUUUUAGAGCAAGCUGACAAGGUCUCUUGGAAAUACUUAAAAUUAACUUUUCUGUUCAUAUUUACCUUUAAAACUACUUACUACUAGGGAAAAGUUUUCUAGUAUACAUAUGGGUCAAAAGUUAAUUCUCAACUUACAAACUUUUAAUCUUCAACUGUGUUAAAUUUUGGGUUAACCCCUCUCAUAUAUAAGUUGGCAUAUAAAGUCAUUGUUGUCAACUGGAAUAAUUCUAAAAGCUAAUAUGCCAGAAAAGACCUAUAAUACAUUUGAAAAUAAGGAAAUAAUUCCAGUGGUUGCUUCCUAUUGAAAACACACUGGGAAUACAUGUAGAAAAGACUACAGAAAUAACUUAUAGACUUACUAUUUUCAGUUAAGCAGCACAAUGGCUAAAAAAUGUUAUUUAAUAAAGUAUGGACUUAAUGUAUAAGAACUUUUUAAGGUAAAAUUCCUACUUUUCUAUUUCCUGUCUUGAAUAAUCUUCAUAGGACAUUAGAAUUUUACAGUUGACAACAAUGACUUUAUAUGCCAACUUAUGUAUGAGUCACAAACCAUUCAAAAUAGAAAUUCUAAAAAUUAAAACAUAUUUCCCAUGAAUUUGCAAAAAAACCAAUACUUAAAUUAUGGUUUAUAAGAACAUAUCUUAGGGGCAAGAGAUGGCUCAGUGGGUAAGAAUACUUGUUCUUAUAGAAGACUUAGGUUUGAUUACCAGCACCCACGUGGCAGGUCACAACCGUCUGUAACUUUAGUUUUAAAGAAUCUACUACCCUUUUCUGACCUCUGUGGGCAGUAAACAUGUACAUGGUGUACAGACAUACAUACAAAAACACUCAGAUACAGUAUUUCAAAAAGAACGUAAGUUAGCUGGGUGUGGUGGCACACACAUUUGACACCAUCACUUGGGAAGAAAAGGCAAAAGAAUCUCUGUGAGUUUGAAGCCAGCCUAGUCUACAAAGCAAGUUCUAGGCCAGCCAGGCAAUUUAGUGAGUCCUAUUUCAAACAAAAACAUAUGUUAUUAUGUAUAACUCACCUUUAUGAACUGCUCGUGUAUCUGUUUGAUUGCUUUCAUUCUCUGGCUCUGAACAAUUCUAGACUGCUGAAAAAUCUUUUGUUGUUGUCGAAAAAGAUUCUAUAAACAUUAAAAAAAAAACGUAAUAA
Molecule: RNA transcript, 7248 nt
Organism: Mus musculus (house mouse)
Lineage: Eukaryota; Metazoa; Chordata; Mammalia; Rodentia; Muridae
Gene: Chpt1
Gene name: choline phosphotransferase 1
Exons: 9
Source: RefSeq, marked validated